Molecule: small RNA, 134 nt
Filed under: Salmonella enterica
Lineage: Bacteria; Pseudomonadati; Pseudomonadota; Gammaproteobacteria; Enterobacterales; Enterobacteriaceae
Description: RtT sRNA
Rfam family: RtT RNA
About the family: This family represents a bacterial cis-regulatory element known as RtT RNA.
Source: RNAcentral
UGUAUCGGAAGCCUGACGAGGAUGAGAACCUCCGGGGGCAAGAGGUUCGACUCGAGCGCAGCGAGAGAAUGUUGCGUCAGCAACGGCCCGCAGGGCGAGCCACGCAGUGGCGAGUCAUCCUCUAUCACCGACCA